This 2897-nucleotide ribosomal RNA is filed under the name Yersinia pestis 1045. RNAcentral's name for it is "bacterial LSU rRNA". It matches the Rfam family "Bacterial large subunit ribosomal RNA". Lineage: Bacteria; Pseudomonadati; Pseudomonadota; Gammaproteobacteria; Enterobacterales; Yersiniaceae. The record is from RNAcentral.
UAAGCGACUAAGCGUACACGGUGGAUGCCUAGGCAGUCAGAGGCGAUGAAGGGCGUGCUAAUCUGCGAAAAGCGUCGGUAAGCUGAUAUGAAGCGUUAUAACCGACGAUACCCGAAUGGGGAAACCCAGUGCAAUACGUUGCACUAUCGUUAGAUGAAUACAUAGUCUAACGAGGCGAACCGGGGGAACUGAAACAUCUAAGUACCCCGAGGAAAGAAAUCAACCGAGAUUCCCCCAGUAGCGGCGAGCGAACGGGGAGGAGCCCAGAGUCUGAAUCAGUUUGUGUGUUAGUGGAAGCGUCUGGAAAGUCGCACGGUACAGGGUGAUAGUCCCGUACACCAAAAUGCACAGGCUGUGAACUCGAUGAGUAGGGCGGGACACGUGACAUCCUGUCUGAAUAUGGGGGGACCAUCCUCCAAGGCUAAAUACUCCUGACUGACCGAUAGUGAACCAGUACCGUGAGGGAAAGGCGAAAAGAACCCCGGCGAGGGGAGUGAAAUAGAACCUGAAACCGUGUACGUACAAGCAGUGGGAGCACCUUCGUGGUGUGACUGCGUACCUUUUGUAUAAUGGGUCAGCGACUUAUAUUUUGUAGCAAGGUUAACCGAAUAGGGGAGCCGUAGGGAAACCGAGUCUUAACUGGGCGUCUAGUUGCAAGGUAUAGACCCGAAACCCGGUGAUCUAGCCAUGGGCAGGUUGAAGGUUGGGUAACACUAACUGGAGGACCGAACCGACUAAUGUUGAAAAAUUAGCGGAUGACUUGUGGCUGGGGGUGAAAGGCCAAUCAAACCGGGAGAUAGCUGGUUCUCCCCGAAAGCUAUUUAGGUAGCGCCUCGUGAACUCAUCUUCGGGGUAGAGCACUGUUUCGGCUAGGGGGCCAUCCCGGCUUACCAAACCGAUGCAAACUCCGAAUACCGAAGAAUGUUAUCACGGGAGACACACGGCGGGUGCUAACGUCCGUCGUGAAGAGGGAAACAACCCAGACCGCCAGCUAAGGUCCCAAAGUCAUGGUUAAGUGGGAAACGAUGUGGGAAGGCACAGACAGCCAGGAUGUUGGCUUAGAAGCAGCCAUCAUUUAAAGAAAGCGUAAUAGCUCACUGGUCGAGUCGGCCUGCGCGGAAGAUGUAACGGGCUAAACCAUGCACCGAAGCUGCGGCAGCGACGUUUAGGCGUUGUUGGGUAGGGGAGCGUUCUGUAAGCCGUUGAAGGUGACCUGUGAGGGUUGCUGGAGGUAUCAGAAGUGCGAAUGCUGACAUAAGUAACGAUAAUGCGGGUGAAAAACCCGCACGCCGGAAGACCAAGGGUUCCUGUCCAACGUUAAUCGGGGCAGGGUGAGUCGACCCCUAAGGCGAGGCUGAAAAGCGUAGUCGAUGGGAAACAGGUUAAUAUUCCUGUACUUGGUGUUACUGCGAAGGGGACGGAGAAGGCUAGGCUGGCCGGGCGACGGUUGUCCCGGUUUAAGCGUGUAGGGGGAGUGACCAGGUAAAUCCGGUUGCUUAUCAACCCUGAGGCGUGAUGACGAUGCACCACGGUGCAGAAGCAGUUGAUGCCAUGCUUCCAGGAAAAGCCUCUAAGCAUCAGGUAACAUUAAAUCGUACCCCAAACCGACACAGGUGGUCAGGUAGAGAAUACUCAGGCGCUUGAGAGAACUCGGGUGAAGGAACUAGGCAAAAUGGUGCCGUAACUUCGGGAGAAGGCACGCUGGCGUUAGGUGAAAGGACUAGCUCCUGGAGCUGAAGCCAGUCGCAGAUACCAGCUGGCUGCAACUGUUUAAUAAAACACAGCACUGUGCAAACACGAAAGUGGACGUAUACAGUGUGACGCCUGCCCGGUGCUGGAAGGUUAAUUGAUGGGGUCAGCCGCAAGGCGAAGCUCUUGAUCGAAGCCCCAGUAAACGGCGGCCGUAACUAUAACGGUCCUAAGGUAGCGAAAUUCCUUGUCGGGUAAGUUCCGACCUGCACGAAUGGCGUAAUGAUGGCCAGGCUGUCUCCACCCGAGACUCAGUGAAAUUGAACUCGCUGUGAAGAUGCAGUGUACCCGCGGCAAGACGGAAAGACCCCGUGAACCUUUACUAUAGCUUGACACUGAACAUUGAGCCUUGAUGUGUAGGAUAGGUGGGAGGCCUUGAAGUGUGGACGCCAGUCUGCAUGGAGCCAACCUUGAAAUACCACCCUUUAAUGUUUGAUGUUCUAACUCGGCCCCAUGAUCUGGGGUGAGGACAGUGUCUGGUGGGUAGUUUGACUGGGGCGGUCUCCUCCCAAAGAGUAACGGAGGAGCACGAAGGUUAGCUAAUCACGGUCGGACAUCGUGAGGUUAGUGCAAAGGCAUAAGCUAGCUUGACUGCGAGAGUGACGGCUCGAGCAGGUACGAAAGUAGGUCUUAGUGAUCCGGUGGUUCUGAAUGGAAGGGCCAUCGCUCAACGGAUAAAAGGUACUCCGGGGAUAACAGGCUGAUACCGCCCAAGAGUUCAUAUCGACGGCGGUGUUUGGCACCUCGAUGUCGGCUCAUCACAUCCUGGGGCUGAAGUAGGUCCCAAGGGUAUGGCUGUUCGCCAUUUAAAGUGGUACGCGAGCUGGGUUUAGAACGUCGUGAGACAGUUCGGUCCCUAUCUGCCGUGGGCGUUGGAAGAUUGAGAGGGGCUGCUCCUAGUACGAGAGGACCGGAGUGGACGAAUCACUGGUGUUCGGGUUGUCAUGCCAAUGGCAUUGCCCGGUAGCUAAAUUCGGAAGAGAUAACCGCUGAAAGCAUCUAAGCGGGAAACUUGCCUCGAGAUGAGUCUUCCCUGGGGCUUAAAGCCCCCUGAAGGAACGUUAAAGACUAUGACGUUGAUAGGCUGGGUGUGUAAGUGCAGCGAUGUAUUGAGCUAACCAGUACUAAUGAUCCGUGAGGCUUAACCU